AUGUGUCAUUGAUGCAGAAUACCCCAUGCGUCAAGAUAGAAACACCAGGGGGAAGGCGGUGGGUAUGUAUGAAUGCACAGAUGACUCCUUGAAGAAUGACAGUUACAGGUAUGGAAAUCUGUCUUUAUUCUUCAUGGUGUCUGUGCAUCACACAUAUGGGUGACUGGUGAGCUUACCUCUAGGAAGAGGGUGGUGUCGCUAAGUAAAGUGUAGUGGAGAGGACAGAUCUGCCAAAGGUGCAGUCCACUCUUGAUUUGACACUGAGGCAGUAGUGUCUAACAAAGCUUGAUGGAUUCGACCAUAUUGUUGCCUUACAGAGGUCAGUCAGGGUGAGUGAUUUUGGUGGCUUUGCUUUCUUUUCUGCCUUUUUUUGUUUUGCCACCUUUGCUGGCAAAGGAGCUGGUGAGUCGUCCGGGGUGGAAGCUGAAGCCACUGAGGUGGAUGGCUGAAGGUCCUCGGCAUGCAAGGCAUGGCUCCAAAGUUCCACCUUUAAAUGGUCAGCCUGAUGUUUCCUUGCCUGCUUCGUAAAAGUUUGGCAAUGGUAACAAGAUUCAAUGACACAUGACUCUCCCAAACAGAAAAGACAAACGGAGUGACCAUCAGUUGGAGGAAGUUUGCUACCGUAUUUGGUGCAGUUGUGGAACGCGGCCUUAAGUGCCAUCUUGUCUGGCUGAUGAGGCGCAACAAAGAGGCCUCAGUGGUAAGCACUGUAGGGUGCAAUUUAUCUUCUCUUUUUUCUUUUCUUUUAUUCCCCCCCUUUUUUUUGCUUCGAGCAACAGGGAGAAGACGAGAAGAGAAAAAGAGAUCUCACCUGGUAGGAGUUAUCUCAUAUAACUUGCGAAGCAAGUCGGAACCAAACUUCCUGAUGCGCUCAUGAUGGUGGUCAAAGAAGAACUGAGGUCUCGGCGGGAGCCCUGACCUCAUGCUACCUGUGUUUGGGGCCAAACUCCCACUGAAUACUAAUUAAUCAGCUUUAGAAUCUUCCCAAAAACCGCUCCAUGCAUGCAUGAAGAGCCAAAUGUGUGAUGCACAGGAACCACAAAGAAUAACUGUGGAGUAUAAUCAGAUACAUUAUGCGGGAGGAAUCCAAAAGGGCAAUCUGUGCAAGCAGAAUGAGAGAGAGAGCCUAGAUGAAUGACAGAAGAAACAAUCACAAUUGCUAAAGAAACAAUCACAAUUGCUAAGGACAGUUUUUAAAAAAGAGAGAGAGAAAGAAUUGUUUCAUCCUUUCACAACGCUGGAAUUUAAUGUCACUCAGAAAAGCCAACUGCCAACCAAAAGUGAAAAAGGGAAGUUCCUACGAGUUGUGGUGAAAGGCCCCUUGCCUUAUCCCUAAGGAAAAUACUGAGAUUGGGCCAGCUGAGGCGGCAGCUAACUCAGACAAUCUGCAAGCCUCUGUGGUAGCAGUGGCUUUAUGUAUAUCUAGUUCCUUACCGGCAUUCAAUAAACCACUGGCGAAUCUGA
Long non-coding RNA from Varanus komodoensis (Komodo dragon), 1464 nucleotides. RefSeq lists it as uncharacterized. The transcript has 2 exons. NCBI's taxonomy places the organism in Eukaryota, Metazoa, Chordata, Lepidosauria, Squamata, Varanidae. The record is from RefSeq and is a predicted model, not a curated record.